UACAGAGGUCUCAAGCGUUGUUCGGAUUCAUUGGGCGUAAAGCGCGCGUAGGCGGCCCGGUAAGUCCGCUGUGAAAGUCAAAGGCUCAACCUUUGAAUGUCAGCGGAUACUGCCGGGCUAGAGUCCGGAAGAGGCGAGUGGAAUUCCUGGUGUAGCGGUGGAAUGCGCAGAUAUCAGGAGGAACACCAACGGCGAAGGCAGCUCGCUGGGACGGUACUGACGCUGAGGCGCGAAAGCGUGGGGAGCGAACAGG
Molecule: ribosomal RNA, 253 nt
Filed under: uncultured bacterium
Lineage: Bacteria
Description: partial 16S ribosomal RNA
Rfam family: Bacterial small subunit ribosomal RNA
Source: RNAcentral